GUGUACCACACGUUGUGUUUGAGGGAUGGGUGCUUCUCUGGUGUCCAAUCCUUGGAUUCUGCACACCUGAAAAGAGUGAAGUCAGCUUCUUUAUCUGCAUGGUCCUUUGCUCUGUUACUUCGUGAUGGUGAGAUGAAGUACUGAAGCUUUCCAUCCAAUUGGUCGACUCAUGGGCUGAAGCUUCAUGAUGUUUCAUUUGCUCUACUGUGCCAUCAAGUGGACAAUAAAUGUAAAACAAACAGUGAUUAUAAUGACAUGGAUGUGGUGUGCAAAGCUUUAAAUUGAAUAAAUGAAUGAUGUUUGUGAUGCCCACAUAUAAAUUCUGAA
Molecule: long non-coding RNA, 327 nt
Organism: Oreochromis niloticus (Nile tilapia)
Lineage: Eukaryota; Metazoa; Chordata; Actinopteri; Cichliformes; Cichlidae
Exons: 2
Source: RefSeq, a predicted model, not a curated record